This is a long non-coding RNA of Ostrea edulis (European flat oyster), 689 nucleotides long. RefSeq lists it as uncharacterized. The transcript has 3 exons. NCBI's taxonomy places the organism in Eukaryota, Metazoa, Mollusca, Bivalvia, Ostreida, Ostreidae. The record is from RefSeq and is a predicted model, not a curated record.
UGAUAGUUUUUCUUUUUUUUUAAACCAGAAAUGUAUGCAGAAAAGGGAAGAACCUAAGUUUGAUUCACCAAUGAUUGACCGGGCUAACAAGUAGGGGAUUUUCUCGCUAGCAUAUAAAACAUCACAAAUUUGGUAUGAUAGCCCUGUUAACAACUGAUAACAAAGAUGAAGGGGGUCAUGGUUUUUGCAGUUUUCUUGGUAGCAUUGAUGCUGGUAGACGAGGAAACUACCGCUGCGACUACCUCGACGAUCACCACUACUACAACUCAACCAGGUAAUCCAGUACCAGGUGGUCCAGUAACAAAUGCUCCUGCAGCAGGUACUCCAACUAAUGCACCAGCUAAUGCACCAUCUAAUGCACCAGGUGGAAAUAAUGGUGUUACAGGAAUAACCGGAAAUGCGUUGUUAACAUUCCUAGGUUUGGGAUUUUACGGAAUCAUGAAAUUGAUGUGAUGCUGCAUGGAGUUUUAAAUUGUUCAGGAAACAGAUUGGACAGACAAGUGAAAUACAAGCGAUGUGUUAUACUAAAUUGUAUAGUACUCUCUCUUUGUCCUGCAUUUUUCACCUCCAUUACUGACAGUAGUUACACUGAUGAUGAAAAAUCUCGCCCUCCAUUUUCUAAAACAUUUAGAGGAUUUACAACAGAGGAAAUAUUUUUAGUUAUUCAUUAAAACUUGUUUCUAAACCUC